CCUAGGGGAGGCAGCAGUGGGGAAUCUUGCGCAAUGGGCGAAAGCCUGACGCAGCCAUGCCGCGUGAAUGAUGAAGGUCUUAGGAUUGUAAAAUUCUUUCACCGGGGACGAUAAUGACGGUACCCGGAGAAGAAGCCCCGGCUAACUUCGUGCCAGCAGCCGCGGUAAUACGAAGGGGGGCUAGCGUUGCUCGGAAUUACUGGGCGUAAAGGGAGCGUAGGCGGAUAGUUUAGUCAGAGGUGAAAGCCCAGGGCUCAACCUUGGAAUUGCCUUUGAUACUGGCUAUCUUGAGUGUGGGAGAGGUUAGCGGAACUCCGAGUGUAGAGGUGAAAUUCGUAGAUAUUCGGAAGAACACCAGUGGCGAAGGCGGCUAACUGGCCCAUUACUGACGCUGAGGCUCGAAAGCGUGGGGAGCAAACAGGAUUAGAUACCCUGGUAGUCCACGCCGUAAACGAUGAGUGCUAGUUGUCGGCAUGCAUGCAUGUCGGUGACGCAGCUAACGCAUUAAGCACUCCGCCUGGGGAGUACGGUCGCAAGAUUAAAACUUAAAGGAAUUGACGG
Molecule: ribosomal RNA, 561 nt
Filed under: uncultured bacterium
Lineage: Bacteria
Description: bacterial SSU rRNA
Rfam family: Bacterial small subunit ribosomal RNA
Source: RNAcentral